GGACGGGGCCCGCACAAGCGGUGGAGCAUGUGGUUUAAUUCGAAGCAACGCGAAGAACCUUACCAGGUCUUGACAUCCCCUGACAACCCGAGAGAUCGGGCGUUCCCCCUCGGGGGGACAGGGUGACAGGUGGUGCAUGGUUGUCGUCAGCUCGUGUCGUGAGAUGUUGGGUUAAGUCCCGCAACGAGCGCAACCCUCGACCUUAGUUGCCAGCAUUCAGUUGGGCACUCUAAGGUGACUGCCGGCUAAAAGUCGGAGGAAGGUGGGGAUGACGUCAAAUCAUCAUGCCCCUUAUGACCUGGGCUACACACGUGCUACAAUGGGCGGUACAAAGGGUCGCGAACCCGCGAGGGGGAGCCAAUCCCAAAAAGCCGCUCUCAGUUCGGAUUGCAGGCCGCAACUCGACUGCGUGAAGUCGGAAUCGCUAGUAAUCGUGGAUCAGCAUGUCACGGUGAAUACGUUCCCGGGUCUU
This 472-nucleotide ribosomal RNA is filed under the name uncultured Anoxybacillus sp. RNAcentral describes it as "bacterial SSU rRNA". It matches the Rfam family "Bacterial small subunit ribosomal RNA", at positions 916 to 1381 of the family's 1533-position model. Lineage: Bacteria; Bacillati; Bacillota; Bacilli; Caryophanales; Anoxybacillaceae. The record is from RNAcentral.